Molecule: long non-coding RNA, 615 nt
Organism: Varanus komodoensis (Komodo dragon)
Lineage: Eukaryota; Metazoa; Chordata; Lepidosauria; Squamata; Varanidae
Exons: 2
Source: RefSeq, a predicted model, not a curated record
GGUGGUAAAUUCCGCUCAGGAGUCCGUACUUGCCCCCUCUUCUGGAAACAGGAAAAACGGGAGAAAACCAACGGAGAUGGACUGGCUGGACUCCUGCGCCUUCAGAGGAAAUUGAAUGGGUGAAGCCUUUUCUGGCACGGAGACAAAUGCUGGGAAAAGCUUCAAGCCAGGACGAUCUUCGAAUAAAAUCUACCAAACAUUCGUCUCUCAGGCUGCUGUUAAAAGGACGCAUUUACACCCUAGCUGGAUUAGACGGACCCCACAGGUCCAUGUGGUUUAGUGUCAUCUUUCCUACAGGGGGUGACCAGCCAGAUGCCUCUGAGACGCCUACAAGGAAAGCAUGAAGAUAGUAAGUCGCCAGCCAGCCUUUACCCUCCGACGGCGCCCAGUCGCUUACUUAACUGCCUCGCUCAUCAUGGAAGUGUGCAGAAGUCCUUUCGUCGAUGAUUUGUUUUUGUCCAGCCCCGCUUUAAAGUAUCUCAGCUCGUGGGUGUAGCGAAUCAAUUCAAAACCUUAGCAAUGGGGCAGCCUUACAGAAAAAGAUGCAGCUCGUCUCGAUCACAGCAAUUCUUACCCAUGAGAGUUAAAUCAAUAAAAAGGACGUUUUACUCCCGA